AGGGUUUGAUUCUGGCUCAGGAUGAACGCUAGCGGCAGGCUUAACACAUGCAAGUCGAGGGGCAGCGAGAUCAAAGCUUGCUUUGAUUGUCGGCGACCGGCGCACGGGUGCGUAACGCGUAUGCAACCUACCCACUACAGGGGGAUAACACUGAGAAAUCGGUACUAAUACCCCAUAAUAUCUUGGAAGGCAUCUUCUGAGGUUGAAAACUCCGGUGGUAGUGGAUGGGCAUGCGUUGUAUUAGCUGGUUGGUGAGGUAACGGCUCACCAAGGCGACGAUACAUAGGGGGACUGAGAGGUUAACCCCCCACAUUGGUACUGAGACACGGACCAA
RNAcentral lists this ribosomal RNA (334 nucleotides) under uncultured bacterium. RNAcentral's name for it is "bacterial SSU rRNA". It matches the Rfam family "Bacterial small subunit ribosomal RNA", at positions 8 to 334 of the family's 1533-position model. The record is from RNAcentral.